UGAUGUGAAUGAUCGGGAGGAGUGAGCUCAUAAGGGGAAUCUGAAGGAGGUUUAGGUUUAUCUGGAACGACCCAAUUAUACAUAUACGAACAUUAGAAGGUAUAUGAUAUUUGUAUGUAAGCAACAAAACUCAUCUGAUUUUGUUUGAGGGGAGGAUGGUCAUCUGACGUAGGGGAAGCAAUAUUUUUUCAGAGAAACGAGGCUUCUCAUUGCCACCAUCACCCUAUAACUCAUUGUUCACCACCAUCAUCACUCUAUAUGCUUCACCUCACGAUCACCCUCGAGUUGCUUUCAAGUUUUUCAGUUCCAAGUUGGAUUAAAAUUUGUGAUAAUACAAAGCGACAGUUGUACGACUGCAUGGCAACAAAAUGAGAUUUCGAUUUCUUCAAUCAGCAUUGUGAAGGCUAAUCAAAGCUGAAGUUUGAGAUGGUUUCUUUCCAAGAGAGAGUUCUGUACCAGUUAACGCAAAUGAAUGAGGACAACCAGCAGCUGAGUUAUUAUAAGAACAAGAUUGCUAAAGAAUAAAAGAAUUCCAAAUCAAUUAAAGAGUCCUUUGAUUUUGUGACUUAGAGGAUUAGGAAAACUGAAGACGAGAAUCAUAUUGUGACGGAGAGAAGACAACGCUACUAUGAACAAAACAAGGAAGAGAUGGAUUACAAAGAACAUUUCCUUAAGGACGAGCUGAAGUUAAUUUAAGAUGCUAUGAAUGCAAGAGAAUGGAAACUUAUUCAAUGGUGGAAACUUACUCCGCAUUUGUUUCUUUCAUUGGUGGAUCCGAAGAGGUAUCAACAUACUCCGCAUUUGUUUCUUUCAUUAGGUAGUUAGUUAUAUCAUAGUAGACAAGAUAGAGUAUGUUUAUGUAAUGUUAUAAUAUAAUAUCCUAAGAUGAGGUAUCAUCAUACUACUUGCUAUUUUAUCCCCAUUUUAUGUUUAUAGAGACUAAU
Non-coding RNA from Lactuca sativa (garden lettuce), 944 nucleotides. NCBI's taxonomy places the organism in Eukaryota, Viridiplantae, Streptophyta, Magnoliopsida, Asterales, Asteraceae. The record is from RefSeq and is a predicted model, not a curated record.